UCUACUUGAAGCCGGCGCCUUCUUCAUCACCACUUUCCUUCCCCAUAAUUUUUUGAGGGAGGAGAAAAUCUCCAUUUUGGAGCUCUCUUGGUGUGCGCGAAACAAAGGGAGUGCAUUUUCAGCGACUGCCACAUUAGCAUCGGCGCAACGUACAUGCGCUUUACGUUCAAGAAACCAGAUGCGGCCGUCAUCGGGUUUUUGGCCUCGAUCCGUCUUACUUUACCUCCGUACGCCUUCACCUCUUUUCAGAUUACUCUUAUUUCGAAUCAACGAAGUGGGGAAAGGCUGGAACCUUACCCGCGCGUAUCGCUCGUGGAAAAAGGCUCGGGUGAGCCGGUCGCUCGGGACUGGUUCAAAAGUGGGGGAAAGGCGCCUUUUUGGCCAGUUCCGGGGGCCCUUCGUAAGAGUUGGUCUCCUGUGCGGUAGAGGUGGAAAGUUUCCGCUCUGCCGAAGUUGAACGUCUUGUGCUUUCUUUUGGGUUUUCAAGAUCCGUCCACCUCGACGUGCAGGCAUUCCUGUUAACGCACGACGCGCGUCGUCGUCAUUUUUGUCGCAGGGAAAAGAGACUUGCACUGUUACGUCGACGGCCCCUUUGUCAAACACUUGACACGAAACAGGCCCCAUCCCUAGGCGUUUCUCCCGGUCAUUCGAUGGGUGCAAGCUGCAGUGACGCUGAGUGAAAAACCCCUUCAUUUGAGAUUACAGUUGUGCGUACGAAUGCAGAUCCAAGCAUACAUAUAUCCAGACAGGUGACUAAACCUCGCAGCCUUCCGUAUUCUAGCGGUUGCAAAGGUGAUCGUUCUCUCGUUUUUUCGUCGGAAACGGCGGGUUAAGCGAUCGGGGAGCAAACGCGUUGCUGCUUUCAAACCUGGAAGGGGC
RNAcentral lists this long non-coding RNA (879 nucleotides) under Toxoplasma gondii VEG. Lineage: Eukaryota; Apicomplexa; Conoidasida; Eucoccidiorida; Sarcocystidae. The record is from RNAcentral.